AAAAAAGGUAAGCUACUAAGAGCGAAUGGUGGAUGCCUUGACUGGUAAAGGCGAUGAAGGACGUACUAGACUGCGAUAAGCUACGGGGAGCUGUCAAGAAGCUUUGAUCCGUAGAUUUCCGAAUGGGGCAACCCAAUGUAUAGAGAUAUACAUUACCUAUAUAGGAGCGAACGAGGGGAAUUGAAACAUCUUAGUACCCUCAGGAAAAGAAAUCAAUAGAGAUUGCGUCAGUAGCGGCGAGCGAAAGCGCAAGAGGGCAAACCCAGUGCUUGCACUGGGGGUUGUAGGACUGCAAUGUGCAAGAGGUGAGUUUAGCAGAACAUUCUGGAAAGUAUAGCCAUAGAGGGUGAUAGUCCCGUAUGCGAAAAACAAACCUUAGCUAGCAGUAUCCUGAGUAGGGCGGGACACGAGAAAUCCUGUCUGAAGCUGGGUCGACCACGAUCCAACCCUAAAUACUAAUACCAGAUCGAUAGUGCACAAGUACCGUGAGGGAAAGGUGAAAAGAACUGAGGUGAUCAGAGUGAAAUAGAACCUGAAACCAUUUGCUUACAAUCAUUCAGAGCCCUAUGUAGCAAUACAGGGUGAUGGACUGCCUUUUGCAUAAUGAGCCUGCGAGUUGUGGUGUCUGGCAAGGUUAAGCAAACGCGAAGCCGUAGCGAAAGCGAGUCUGAAUAGGGCGCUUAGUCAGAUGCUGCAGACCCGAAACGAAGUGAUCUAUCCAUGAGCAAGUUGAAGCUAGUGUAAGAACUAGUGGAGGACUGAACCCAUAGGCGUUGAAAAGCCCCGGGAUGACUUGUGGAUAGGGGUGAAAGGCCAAUCAAACUUCGUGAUAGCUGGUUCUCUCCGAAAUAUAUUUAGGUAUAGCGUUGUGUCGUAAUAUAAGGGGGUAGAGCACUGAAUGGGCUAGGGCAUACACCAAUGUACCAAACCCUAUCAAACUCCGAAUACCUUAUAUGUAAUCACAGCAGUCAGGCGGCGAGUGAUAAAAUCCGUCGUCAAGAGGGAAACAACCCAGACUACCAGCUAAGGUCCCUAAAUCUUACUUAAGUGGAAAACGAUGUGAAGUUACUUAAACAACCAGGAGGUUGGCUUAGAAGCAGCCAUCCUUUAAAGAAAGCGUAAUAGCUCACUGGUCUAGUGAUUUUGCGCGGAAAAUAUAACGGGGCUAAAGUAAGUACCGAAGCUGUAGACUUGCGCACAACUUAGAUUAUUUAAGUUUAGAAUAUGAGAAACUAAGUUAUAUGUUUAGUUAUAUUUUUACUGAUUUUUAUAGAGUAAAGAUAGAAAUAAAACUUAGUAAAAUCAGUAAAAAUAUUCUUAGACUAAAGUUAAGUAGUUUAAGUUGUGUGCAAGUGGUAGGAGAGCGUUCUAUUUGCGUCGAAGGUAUACCGGUAAGGAGUGCUGGAGCGAAUAGAAGUGAGCAUGCAGGCAUGAGUAGCGAUAAUUAAUGUGAGAAUCAUUAACGCCGUAAACCCAAGGUUUCCUACGCGAUGCUCGUCAUCGUAGGGUUAGUCGGGUCCUAAGCCGAGUCCGAAAGGGGUAGGCGAUGGCAAAUUGGUUAAUAUUCCAAUACCAACAUUAGUGUGCGAUGGAAGGACGCUUAGGGCUAAGGGGGCUAGCGGAUGGAAGUGCUAGUCUAAGGUCGUAGGAGGUUAUACAGGCAAAUCCGUAUAACAAUACUCCGAGAACUGAAAGGCUUUUUGAAGUCUUCGGAUGGAUAGAAGAACCCCUGAUGCCGUCGAGCCAAGAAAAGUUUCUAAGUUUAGCUAAUGUUGCCCGUACCGUAAACCGACACAGGUGGGUGGGAUGAGUAUUCUAAGGCGCGUGGAAGAACUCUCUUUAAGGAACUCUGCAAAAUAGCACCGUA
Molecule: ribosomal RNA, 1867 nt
Filed under: Campylobacter coli
Lineage: Bacteria; Pseudomonadati; Campylobacterota; Epsilonproteobacteria; Campylobacterales; Campylobacteraceae
Description: partial 23S ribosomal RNA
Rfam family: Bacterial large subunit ribosomal RNA
Source: RNAcentral